UACGGGGGGAGCAAGCGUUGUUCGGAUUUACUGGGCGUAAAGGGCGCGGUAGGCGGUCGUGACAAGUCACUUGUGAAAUCUCCGGGCUUAACUCGGAACGGUCGAAGUGAUACUGUCGGACUAGAGUACAGAAGGGGCAACUGGAAUUCUCGGGUGUAGCGGUGAAAUGCGUAGAUAUCGAGAGGAACACCUGCGGCGAAGGCGGGUUGCUGGGCUGAUACUGACGCUGAGGCGCGAAAGCCAGGGGAGGCGAACGGG
RNAcentral lists this ribosomal RNA (258 nucleotides) under uncultured bacterium. RNAcentral's name for it is "partial 16S ribosomal RNA". It matches the Rfam family "Bacterial small subunit ribosomal RNA", at positions 524 to 776 of the family's 1533-position model. The record is from RNAcentral.